AUUGUAGUUCUAGCUGCACGAAGUGAGUUGACUGACUGGUUGAUUGAAUGAUUGAUUGGUUGCAUGAUUGAGUGAUUGAAUUACAUUUCCUCCAGAGAUAUUAAGAGAAGAUGAAGAGAAGCAAAGAUCUUCAGAGCUUCUUCAGCUUCUACCAGCAGCAGCACAAAGGUCCACACAAGCCAGCAGCCUGGUGAUGAAGAUGAUGAGCCGUCCACUCCCCCAAUACAGGAUGUUGACCAGCAACACUUAGAGGAGGAAACUGGUUGUGAACCAACAUUGUCUGGAGCUCCACCUACUAAGCAGGCGACACUGAUGACAGAGAUCCUCCUAAUGUUGUACCUGCUGCUCCACCUGGACCUUACGGCUGCAGAGUCUGCUGAUAUAAACAUGCAUCAUGAAUUCAUGUUUUUCCUGAUAAACUGUGUAAAAUAAUGUGCACUACAUGUGGCAUCCCUGCUACUUCACACUUUGAGCUUGUUAAAUGUUUGAAGCUAAAUAUUUCUAGGAUAAAAGACAUCAUCUGGCAGAUUAGCUCAGAUUGCUUCAAAACUCUUCCAUGAUGAAGAGCAUUAGUGAAAACGAAGACUGGUCAUAGUUGGAAAGUGUUUUAGCUGUGAUCAAAUAGCUCCGUCUGUUAGAGGAUCUCCUGUAGUCUGUAGGGUCGGUUCUCUGAAGGCUCCUGAGG
Girardinichthys multiradiatus is the source of this 685-nucleotide long non-coding RNA. RefSeq lists it as uncharacterized. The record is from RefSeq and is a predicted model, not a curated record. Lineage: Eukaryota; Metazoa; Chordata; Actinopteri; Cyprinodontiformes; Goodeidae. The transcript is spliced from 4 exons.